CUUAUACUCCCUCCAUCCAGAAAUACAUGUUGAAGCAAUGGAUGUAUCUAGUCAAAUUUUAAUUCUAGAUACAUCCAUUUUGAUCUAUUUUCGACACAAGUAUUUCCGGACGGAGGGAGUAUAUU
Triticum aestivum (bread wheat) is the source of this 125-nucleotide non-coding RNA. The record is from Rfam. NCBI's taxonomy places the organism in Eukaryota, Viridiplantae, Streptophyta, Magnoliopsida, Poales, Poaceae.